GUUCCUAAUAAUCGAUUUUUUCCAUAAAUCGUGCUUUCGGACUCUCUUUAUCCAUGUUUACUUGGUCCAUCAAUUCAUAAACCCGACUCUUUAGUUGCGUUGGGCUCGCCGAGAUAGUCGAAAUGCACUACCUAUCUCCUCGAGUCGGACUCCGGGUUCAUCUCCUAUGAUUUAUUUCAAUCCCAUGGCUUAUAUUAUUAGGGAAUUUCAAAAUAUUCUCUAAUUCAGGAAAUAGGAAAAGAAAAACUUAACCUUAUCUCUUACCUCUCCCUCAAAAUGUGAGCUCUCCUUGUCCAUAGUAGGCGUGCUCCACAUCUUUCUUCUCUUCCCCAAGCCGAAGGGAAGAAACCCUUUCUCCUCUCUUCUCCAGCCAGCCUACUCCCUCCUCCCUUCCUUCCCCACUCCUCCCCAGGUGCCUCCUUGCUGCACCACACCCUUCACCACCUCCAUGGUUGCCCUUUGAUUUAGGGCUUUGAGGAAGAAGGAAAGGAGACAAGAAGAGGGGGAACAAGAAAGCUUCCCCAACUUUUCCCUUCACCAAAUCUGUGUGUUUUGACCAUAGAGCAGGUUGCAGCACCAAUCCACCGGAGAUAGCCUCGCACCACCUCCCUUGCAACGAUUGAGGCGAGUACACCGGGCAACAAGGGCUAGAUUGCUCCCUUAAUGUUAUGUUCAUGUUCACAUUAUUCCUUUACAUUCAUGCAAUGGUGAACAUACAACUCCCUAGUGUACAUUUCAAUA
Non-coding RNA from Aegilops tauschii subsp. strangulata, 741 nucleotides. The record is from RefSeq and is a predicted model, not a curated record. Lineage: Eukaryota; Viridiplantae; Streptophyta; Magnoliopsida; Poales; Poaceae.